Molecule: ribosomal RNA, 467 nt
Filed under: uncultured bacterium
Lineage: Bacteria
Description: partial 16S ribosomal RNA
Rfam family: Bacterial small subunit ribosomal RNA
Source: RNAcentral
GACGAACGCUGGCGGCGUGCUUAACACAUGCAAGUCGAACGGAAAGGCCCUGCUUUUGUGGGGUGCUCGAGUGGCGAACGGGUGAGUAACACGUGAGUAACCUGCCCUUGACUUUGGGAUAACUUCAGGAAACUGGGGCUAAUACCGGAUAGGAGCUCCUGCUGCAUGGUGGGGGUUGGAAAGUUUCGGCGGUUGGGGAUGGACUCGUGGCUUAUCAGCUUGUUGGUGGGGUAGUGGCUUACCAAGGCUUUGACGGGUAGCCGGCCUGAGAGGGUGACCGGCCACAUUGGGACUGAGAUACGGCCCAGACUCCUACGGGAGGCAGCAGUGGGGAAUAUUGCACAAUGGGCGGAAGCCUGAUGCAGCAACGCCGCGUGCGGGAUGACGGCCUUCGGGUUGUAAACCGCUUUCGCCUGUGACGAAGCGUGAGAGACGGAAUGGGUAAAGAAGCACCGGCUAACUACGUG